Molecule: ribosomal RNA, 253 nt
Filed under: uncultured bacterium
Lineage: Bacteria
Description: partial 16S ribosomal RNA
Rfam family: Bacterial small subunit ribosomal RNA
Source: RNAcentral
UACGUAGGGUGCAAGCGUUGUCCGGAAUUAUUGGGCGUAAAGAGCUCGUAGGCGGUCUGUCACGUCGGCUGUGAAAACCCGGGGCUCAACCCCGGGCCUGCAGUCGAUACGGGCAGACUAGAGUGUGGUAGGGGAGACUGGAAUUCCUGGUGUAGCGGUGAAAUGCGCAGAUAUCAGGAGGAACACCGGUGGCGAAGGCGGGUCUCUGGGCCAUUACUGACACUGAGAAGCGAAAGCAUGGGGAGCGAACAGG